RNAcentral lists this transfer RNA (75 nucleotides) under Acidobacteriota bacterium. RNAcentral describes it as "tRNA-Gly". It matches the Rfam family "tRNA". From Rfam's summary of the family: Transfer RNA (tRNA) molecules are approximately 80 nucleotides in length. RNAcentral also lists the same sequence under 2 other names. The record is from RNAcentral. Lineage: Bacteria; Pseudomonadati; Acidobacteriota.
GCGGGUGUAGUUCAGUGGUAGAACGCCAGCUUCCCAAGCUGGAUGUCGUGGGUUCAAGCCCCAUCACCCGCUCCA